RNAcentral lists this unclassified non-coding RNA (2406 nucleotides) under Penaeus monodon (black tiger shrimp). RNAcentral describes it as "nephrin-like, transcript variant X2". The record is from RNAcentral. Lineage: Eukaryota; Metazoa; Arthropoda; Malacostraca; Decapoda; Penaeidae.
CAGGAUUUAUAUCCAGGUCCAUCGGCGUCAUAGGAAAAGGUGCCAGGAUCUAUUGCAACGUCUCAGAGCCAGCGCCUGCAGGUCAAGUCAUCCUCACGCUCUGGUUUAAGAACAACAGUAAGAAGCCGAUGUACAGCUACGACGCCAGUCACGGACGCCCAGAGAAUGGUCAGACAGCAACUUCUUCGGAGAUCGCGCCACGUACGAAGCCUCGGAAGACCCGCCUUACUUGAGCGUCACGGACAUCAAGGUUACGGACGAAGGGAUGUACGAGUGUCGCGUCGAUUUUCGCAGACUGCCGUCGCGCAGGCAUACCACGAGGAUGAAUGUCAUUGUCCCCCCGGCUGCUCCCAAGGUCUUGAGGAACGACAGCACCUACGCAUCGAAUGGCAUCGCCGGACCUUACAACGAAGGCUCCAACGUCACUAUCACGUGCCAAGUGAAAGGAGGAAAGCCACCCCCACAAGUGAAAUGGUGGAGAGAGGGAGAACUCCAGGACGCAGAGUUGGAGAAGAGCAUUGGAGGAGAAUACCGCAACACUCUCAAGAUUGGUCCUUUGACACGCGAGCACCUUAACGCCCAGUAUGUGUGUCAAGUGAGGAACCACGAGCUCGUACCUGCGCUCAGUACCAGCGUCACUCUGCUUGUCAACGUGCCUCCCUUGGAAGUGAAGAUCCUGACCCCCCCCGCCCACGUCGUGGCGGAGAAAGCCCACAAGGUGCAGUGCAGGAGCAGCGGAGGCCGCCCGCACGCCAACAUCACCUGGUGGCUUGACGGGCAGCCGCUCAAGACCUUCAGGAUUGUCAACAAAACCGACGGGACGCUGAGCAUCCUCACCUUCACGCCCACCAAGGAGGACCAAAACAAAGCGUUGCAGUGCAAGGCCGAGUCUCCCGUCUUGCAACACACGCCCCUGGAGGCCGCGAUGAAGCUCGACGUGCAUUCUGCACCCAAGGUGAUAAGUAUCGACAUAGAGACCCCUGACCCCGAUUACAUCAAGGAAGGCGAUAACGUGACCCUUUGGUGUCGAGUGAAGGCGUAUCCCAAGGUUCAGGAAAUCGCAUGGUAUCACAAGGGAAUCCAGGUGCAGCACAAUCUGGACGAGGGGGUAAAAGUGGGCAAGCAGAAGCUGAUGAUGAUCGGCAUAGAGAAGCAGCAGGCGGGCAUGUACUCCUGCCGGGGCACCAACGCCGUCGGGGAUGGUCAUAGUGAGCCGUACAUUCUUGACGUGAAGUACGCCCCCGUGUGCUCCUUCAACACCUCGGAAAAGGUGGGCAUCGCCAAGAACGACCAGGUGAUGGUGCAGUGCCGCGUCGACGCUUCCCCUGGCAUCGUCACCUUCAAGUGGCACCUCAGGACCAAAACCGAGCUCAUCAACAUCCCCACCGAGUGGUACACCGUUCAGGACCGCACCUCGAGUCUCAUCUACAACGUCACGGGCAUCUACACCUACGGGGACAUCCUGUGCUACGCCUCGAACGAGCUGGGGGAGCAAGCCAGGCCGUGCAGCUACACCCUGGUGCCCGCGGGCAAGCCGGAGCCGCCGAGGAACUGCACGGCGAGCAACCACACCGCCGACGCCUUCUACGUGGCCUGCCUCCCUGGCUACGACGGCGGGCUGGAGCAGGAGUUCGUGGUCCUGGCCUUCGACGACAAGAACGAGCGCCUCAUUCGCAACGAGACCGUGAGGGGGGCCCCGGUGUUCACCCUCGAGGACCUGCCGCCGGAGUCCGACUACCUGGUCAAGGUCUACGCGCAGAACGUCAAGGGAAAGAGCGUGGAGCAGGUGCUGCACGGGUUCACUCUGCCCUCCGCUCAGCCAGGCACAGCUGUUCCGGCCACCCACAUCUUCCCCAUCACGCCCAUCUUAGGCGUGCUGAUAGGCGUGGUGGCCGCCCUCGUGCUGGUGGCCGUGGUGGUGGUGGUGGUGAUGAAGCUGCGAGGUGACGCGAGGACCGUCAAGGGCAGGCGCGAAGGGGGCGUGAAGGGGCCUCACUCCCCCCUCCACCCAGCCAAGGACGGAGAUGACUGUCCCGACGUCAUCUUGUGUCGCACGGACUCCACCUACGAGGACGUGGACGGGAUCCCGCAGAAGCUGAAGCACGCCAACAUCUACGAGACGGUCCCUUAUGACACCAAGGACAAGAACAGCAAGAACAGUGAGUCUUGUUGUACUUAUGCCUGCUAGCUACUGUCUGCCUGCUACCCUGCCUUCCAAAAAAUGUAUUUAAUAUAUGUACCUUCACCAGCAUUGUAUCUAAUACCACAGCGCUGACAAGGACGAAGUUGCUUACGCCGAGCUGACCUUCAGCAACGGCAAGAGCAAGUCGAAGAAGAGCAAGAAGUCGGGAGCGAACGGCGCCAUCAGAAGCUCCGAGGAGUCCACCAUCUACGCCACCAUCGACC